RNAcentral lists this non-coding RNA (29 nucleotides) under Homo sapiens (human). The record is from RNAcentral. Lineage: Eukaryota; Metazoa; Chordata; Mammalia; Primates; Hominidae.
AGUGUGUGUUAGUGACCAGAAACCCUGGC